AUUUUAAUUUCUAUUCUCUGAUUUAUCUGGGGUUUUAUGAUGGGUUUCAGUUUUACGUUUUGGGUAUUCAUGGAUGGGUUUUGCUUAUAUUUGAUUUUAUUUUGGUUUUCUUGAACUAGUGUGUGAGCCUGUUGUGGUUUCCAGAUUCAUUUUCCUUGCAGGUCUAAGUCCUCGCAAACAGUUGAUUUAAAGUUUUGCACUAG
RNAcentral lists this small RNA (203 nucleotides) under Vigna angularis var. angularis. RNAcentral describes it as "Non-protein coding transcript". Lineage: Eukaryota; Viridiplantae; Streptophyta; Magnoliopsida; Fabales; Fabaceae. The record is from RNAcentral.